Microcebus murinus (gray mouse lemur) is the source of this 1762-nucleotide non-coding RNA. The record is from RefSeq and is a predicted model, not a curated record. NCBI's taxonomy places the organism in Eukaryota, Metazoa, Chordata, Mammalia, Primates, Cheirogaleidae.
UCCAGCCCAUCCUCUGCAGGUGCAGGCCUGGUGUAGUCUCCUGUCUGGACAGAGUGAGAAGAGAACAAUGCAGAAGGACACCGGCCCUCUAGUGCCUUUGCAUUGGUUUGGCUUUGGCUAUGCAGCACUGGUUGCUUCUGGUGGGAUCAUUUGCUAGGCAAAAGCAGUCCUAGAAUCUCAACCAUUUCUCCAAGGAGCCCUUGUACCUUUUAUUGGACAGUGGUAUUAGAGACCACAUCUGGGUAAGGUAAGGUUGUUGCCACUGGAAUAAAAUCUGCUUUUUUUAUUUCAUUAUUUUAUACUUUUGUCUUUAAUCUCCAUUUUACUUUUUAACUUAUAUUUGUCUAGUUUCUUAAGCUUAAGUCCUCAAAUUCAGAAUAUUUUCAGUGCUCCUUGUUUUUUUCACAAAUGGACCAGGUAUGUAAUUGUUUUCCUUGAGAUCUGUUUUGGCUGAAUAUUACCAGCUUUAAUAUAGAGUUAUAUCAUUGUCCAUUUCUAAAGAGUUUUUCAUUUCAAUUUUGAUUAAGUGUUUGGAACUAUAUUUUUGAGUUUUUAAGUGGAUGGAUUUUGGGAGCAUGCCCUUUUAUUGUUAUGUUCUAGUUUUACUACACUGUAGGAAGAGAAUAUAGCCUACAUAUUUCUACAUUUGAGUUUGAGAUUUUCUUUGUGGCCUAAUAUAGGGUUAAAUUUUUGAAAUGUACAUGUGUUUGAGAGGAAUGUGAAGAUUUUCUGUAUUGGUUAAAGUUCUAUAUGCUAUCUAUUUGAUUAAAUUAGUUAACUGUCAUUUACUUACUUUAGGUCUCUAGAUCUGUUUUCCAAGAAAAACCUCCCACUCUGAUCAUGAGUAUACCAAUGAGUAUACCAUGAGUAUACAUGAAAUAUCAUGUAUUUCUGUGUUUAUGAUAAAUCCUUGCUUUAUAUAUUUACAUUGUUUUAACAUUUUAAUUGGAAAAUUUUCAAAUCUAUAGAAAAGUUUCAACAUUAUUCAUGAGCAUCUGUAUACCCUUAACCUAGUUCACCAACUCACCAAUUGUUAACAUUAGGCACAUCCUCUCUCUUUUUCUCUCUCUGAAUACGUGUGUGUGUGUCCAAACACACAAACACAGAUGAAAAAUCCUCAACAAAAUAUUAGCAAACCAAACCAUACACCACAACCAAGGGGAUUAAUCCCAGGUAUGCAAGGCUGGUUCAACAUUUGAAAAUCAAUUAAUGUAACCAUCACAUCACCAGGCUAAAGAAGAAAAAUCAUAUGAUCACAUCAAGAGGUGCAAAAAAAGAAUAUGACAAAAAUCAAAACACCCAGCAAACUAGCAGUAGAGGUGAACUUUCUCAAUUUGAUAACAUAACUAUAAAGAACCUACGGCUAACAUCGUACUUAAUGGGGAGAAACUAGAUGUUUUCCCCACUAAAAUCAGAAACAAGGUAAGGCUAUCUACUCACCAUUCCUAUUCAUUAUACUGGAAGUCAUAGCUAAUGCAGAAAGACAGUAAAAGGGAGUAAAAGGUAUACUAUACUGAUUAGGAAGGAAGAAAUAAAAUGUUUUGCUUGCAGAUGACAUGAUUAUAGAAAAUCUGAAAGAAUCAACAAAGAAACUCCUGAACUAAUAAGUGAUUAUAGCAGAUAUUGGUAUAUAAGGUUAACAUACAAAAGUAAAUUGCUUUUUUAUACACCAGCAAUGAACAGUUGAAAUUAGAAAUUAAAAAUACGAUACUGACUGGGUGUGGUGGCUCACGCCUAUAAUUCUAGCAUUCUGGGAGGCCCA